GCUACUAGCCAACACUCCUUCAAGCAAACAAUUCAGCAGCAACCUACCUCCAUUCAUUCUUUACUCACCUGUAUUUGUUAAAGUAGCAACCUUAUUUCAGUUCAUCUCAUACAAAUCAACAACAACAGCCAUCAACAACAAACAAUUACAGGUAUAUACUACUAUCUCAGUUUAUUUUCUCAAUUUAUUCAAGCCACAUACACUGUCAUAAUACCCAAGCAUAGAACAUGGAUAUCAACAUGAAUCUUGUUAACAUCAUUCACCUUAGCAACUAGAAGCUUAAACAGGAAACGAGUAUAUAUAUAUGCACACAGGGACUUAGCAAUCGAAAUCAGUUUAUGCUAUAUUUUCUUAUCACACGAGGCAAGACAGGAAAAAUUACUUGAUACAUUAGCAAAAUCACAGUGCCUAGUUUUAAUCUCUAGCAUAACCGAUAUGUAUAUAUAUAGAGAGAUCAAGAGUAUUACAUCUCACUGUUUCAGAAAAGAAAAUAGCAAUAACACUUAUGGGAUUCAUAGAGUAUUAGAUACCACAAGAAUUCCUUUUACACAAAAAUUGGGGAUCGAACUUAGCUUUUGGGGGAAAGGGAUUGUACCUGUUUCAAUAAACGAGGAGGAGGGCGACUGCCCCUUGGCGGUGGCGGUGGCAGCCUCUGGCUUGCUACCUGCCGGACGAAAACAAUGAGGGGAGCACGGAGACCUCGCCGAUUCUUCAGUGGCGGCGACGGCUGAUUUCUGAGGAAGAAGAGCAGGGGCUCGAGUACGGAGCAGCUUCCAACGACGUUACAGGGAGGCGGUAGUUCCCAAUAGAGGAGGCGGAGCGUCGAGCAACAGCCUUACCAAUUUUAGGGCAAAGGCAGCGCGACGCCAACGGCGACUCCCGCCGGUUCACAGAGCAGCGGCAGACGAAGUGCAGCAGGCCGCGACUCCGGCGAAACAGCAGCAGUCGGCACUGACCACCGGACGAACAGCAGCAACUCCAGCCGGCGGCGACUCCAGGCGAAGCAGCAGCCACUCCCAGACGACGACCGGCGCCGUUUGAGUCGCCGGAUUCAGACGAGGAUGUGACCGCGGCGCUGAUUCCAGAGAUAGGGCUCGACUGAGUUCUGCGAAGAGAGAGAUAGAGGACGUCGCCGGGGUUUGACGCAUCGGCAUCCGAAGCAGACCGGAGCCGACGGCCGCUGAACAGCCAAGGAAGAAGGCGGCGCUGCUGUUUUGGAGAAAAAGAGAGACGAGAUCGAGAGAGAGGACAGCGCCGGGACUUAGACGACGUCGGGGUAAGACUCGUCGCCGGUAGAAGCCAACCAAAGCAGACGGCAGCUGAGUGGUCGGAGAAGAAGGGCCGAUCGAGCGCCGAUUUUGAGGAAGGGAGCAAGCGGCUCCUUGAGAGAGAAAAGAGAGAGGCGUGCGUCUGUUUUGAAGAAAGAGAGGGACCGAAUGGAGGAGAUAAGGAAAUGAGUUGGGCUAAAAUUUUGGGCCAUUCAUUUAAUUACUUGGGCUUGAUUUAUUUAGUUAAUUUGGGUCAUCCAAUUAUUUUUGUAUUGGGCCAAUUCUAAUUUAUUCAGUUGGGCCUAAUUUUUAAUGGGCCUCUUUCAACUAAUUGAUUAUUGGGCUUGUUAUUAUAUCCAAUUGGGCCUUGUUUUAUUUUUAUGAUUGGGCCACCUUUAAUUGGUUUCGGAACAGGCUGAAUUUUCAUUAAACCAAGCCCAGUUAUUUUAUUCAGUUGGGCCUUAUUUAUUUAUUCAGAUGAGCCUUUAUUAUUUCAUUUCAAUUGGGCUGAAUUAUUAAUUACAGCCGGGCCUAGCAUACUUCAUUUAUUUGAGCCCAACUAUUAGAUUAUUUAUUCAUUUGGGCCAAGAUUUAUUUACUUACUUAAGCCAAGGAAUUAUUUUCAAUUGGGGCUUUCAUAUUAAUUAUUCAAGCCCAUUUCUGCUUAAUUAAUUAUUGUUUUGGACUUCAGACUUUAAAGCAAGCCUAUUAUUGUUUAUUUCUAUUUAAGCCACUGGUUUAUUUAAUUAAUUGGCUACUCUCUUUUGAGCCUAUUAAUUAUUUGAGGUUACGCUAGUAAUGAUGCUUCUAUCGAAAAGCCCGAUAAUUUCUACAAGGUCACACCUCGUUUAAAGCCGAGUUAGUCCUUUUUCAAUCAAGUACAAAUGCGAGGUUUAUUUCACGACUAGAAUAUUCCGAUGAGGAAGGAAGAAUCACAGUUUUAUUCGACCGCGCUAGACGAGAAUUAGCUAAAUCUAUUAACGAGGAUUAAUAGUAGAAUUCCCGAUUAUCGCUCAGAGUAUUAGUUCAUGCAUACCAGAUUCAUGCAUAGUUAAAUUACGCUUUCUCAUUAAUUAAGAAUUUUCCUCGAGGCAAUGUCUUAUUUUAUAUUCUCGUGAUUAAGGUCAAGCGCGAGAGUAAGAACUACACAAGGAGUUAGAGUACCUUAGCAAAACUUUGCUAUCAGGUGGGCAAUUCCUUACGCGUAAAUAAAAUGCUAUGCAAAUGUUAUGCUUUAAAAUGCAAAUUGGAUCUUCAAGUAUGGUAUGCUUUAUUACGCUUAAAUGAGUUAAGCUUUAUUAUGUUGCACGUUAAAUGAUUUACGCUAUGCUGUUUAUACUAUUUACGCCCUAUGUAAUUUACGCUUGAUUACACUUAUUUACGCUUGAAUGCUUUACGCUGAUAAGUUUAUGCUUAUGUUUGAUGCUUGCGUCUGUUGGGGGAGGCCUCCCUCAACAGUACGAUGCCGUGUCCGUUGAGGAGGGCCUUCCUCACGGCGCGAUGCCCGUGUCCGCUGAGAGAGGCCUCUCUCGCGGCACGAUGCCAAUAUGCCAGUAUGCCAGUGUUACAGCGUCUAUUGGGGGAGGCCUCCCUCAAUAGUACGAUGCCGUGACCGCUGAGGGAGGCCCCCUUCACGGUGCGAUGCCCGUGUUCGUUGGGGAAGGCCUUCUCCACGACACGAUGCGUGUUGAUGAUUGUUAAUGAUGAAGAAUGCGCUCAUGCUGUUUAUGAAUAUGGAAAUGUUUAAUGAGCAAAGGAUUUGAAAGAAACUUAUGCCUCUUAUGCGAAGUUGUGUUUUGUUGUUGAUAUUAUGUUAUAUGCUUGGCACUGCCCACUGAGUACUCUUGUACUCAGCCCUUCGUAUGUUUAUGUUUGUGCAGGUUGAGUUGUGAUGGGCGAUGAAGUGUUGCUGAGUGGAGUUUUUGUUGAACUUAAAGUAGGCUCAGAAAGGA
Molecule: long non-coding RNA, 3220 nt
Filed under: Salvia miltiorrhiza (redroot sage)
Lineage: Eukaryota; Viridiplantae; Streptophyta; Magnoliopsida; Lamiales; Lamiaceae
Description: long non-coding RNA (SMIL_LNC000479)
Source: RNAcentral